AGUAAUAGAAUUUCACUCAGAUAAUACAACAUACGUGAUAAUUAUGCUUGGUUGGUGUUUGGUCACUAAAUAUUUCUCUCUGUUUCUUUUUUUAUAGCAUCUGACUUGAAGGCUUAUGUACUUGGACUUUCCAUCUUCAGUUUAACAGAGGACUUUAUGUCCCUUUUCAUCAUUGUAUUAGCUUACAUUUUGUCAAGAGGUACAUGUGUUUUCAUUAUAUCAUGAAUCAUGUUAACAUGAAAUAGCUUAUAUUUAUCAGUGGCCACUGGCGAAAUUUCAAGAUGCUGGAGUACCAAACUCAACCAAUUGAAUUUUAACCCACCCCCUCUUUCUGGAAACCCUACAUCCUGAUCUUUUGGACUGAUAUUUCUACAAACUAAGUUCUAAUGUUGCUAUACGCUCCAUUCAGUGUGUAUGUCUCAUUUAAUAUCGAAUACUGUCACAGAGUAUCUGGAAGGGUAGUGGAGGGAAGAUAUUAAAGUCUUAGAAUCCUUCAUAGUCUCUAGCCACUCAAUUCUUGUUAGUUAAUUAAUUGGCAGCAGGUAAAUUCUCAGGCUCCUGACUCAAAACAAAAUUAAAUACUACCUACUAGCAAGCUAGCCUUGUAGUGGUUUAAAUUUUCCGUUCAGCCACAGUAGGGGAAAGUCGGCAGUGGCUUUCUGUUUUCUGAAGGACCCCGGACUAGAGACCUUACUGAUUAAGGAAAUCUGGGAGGGAAGAUUUGGGAAUUGGGACGUGGAAAGUGAAAAUGGACACCAAGGAUGGUGCUGAAAAUGUGUAAUGGGGGAAUAGGGACCUGGAAGUGUAAUGGUUGGAUGGGAAGCUGUAAGGGGGAAAGGAGACAGGAUUUCUAAUGGGUGUAAAGGGAACUUAGGAGUGGAGCUAGCAAAAGUCUGUUUAUGCAUAUUCUUAAUGGCUUUUUAUUCACGGAAAUAACUCUUUUUUUCUGUUGCUUUCAGGAACUCAAUCCACUGGGCAGUUCAACCCAAACAUACAAUCGAGAGAAGUAACUGACAACAAAAAAGGUAGUUCUUUUUUUCCCAGUAACUGAACAAAAAUCUUCAAAUUAAUUUUAGAUAGUCCAAUAGGGCCAGCAGUGAAGUAUGCAGAAAUAGAGGUGUUGUCCUGGUUUUAGGAUUGUAGAGUCCAUCAAAAACUUCACCAGUGGCCACUGAAAUUAGAUCACUUAUUGGCCUCCUUCCCAACAAGUUGACCGUUGAGCCUAAAGCAAACAAUGGUUGUGUGGGUCUGGUCCCUUUAACUCUCCCUCUCCUCCUCCUUGUGUGUUUAUCUUAUCAAUGCAAAUCUACAAUAAUCGAUUGUAUAUAUAUAUUAUUUAUUUCUCCAAUUAUUUUAAUUUCAGCUGUAUGAUUAUGCUAUUUAUACUUUAUUCUAUAUAACAUAGGUUAUCUUGCCAAAGUGAAGAAGGGAUGCUUUUUCACCUAUCUGCUGAGCACUGACAUAAACAUUCUUGUUGUCCUUGCGAUAUUGAUCAUCUGGAUCACAGAAGGUAAGAUUAACAUACAAAUUAAAAUUUAACACCUUAAUGAUUUUAAUUUCAAAUGCAUUUCAAUGGCAUUCCUGGCACAAUAAGCACUACAGUUUAUUGUAGUUUUUAUGGUGCAAACCUUUUUUGUGUUAUUUGAUCAAAUCCAGAACACCCAAAACAUACCCUUUACCUUCCACAGAGAUAAUGCGAAAGUGAAAAUUUUAUCCGAUUUUUGGAAACCUAUUCUUGUCUCCGCUUUGAAUGAAUAAUACAACUCAUUCCUAAAACCAUUUUCACACAUGACUUGAUCUAUGUCUUACUAGAAGAAGUGUAGAUGUCCAUGAUUUUGCAAUUAAUUUCCUGAACACCAGAAAAUAAUUUUUUGAAAUCGUUUUCAGCCAUGCUGCCAUUUAAUCAUAAAUAUUUGGCAAUAUGCUUUCAUUGCUUUUUUCAAACCUGGAUUACAUAGUGGUUGUUGAUUUUGAGAAUACAUAAGUAAGAUAAACCCACCUUUCUUCCGCUACUGCAACUGUGUCAUCUAAAACCACUAAACCAACACUGUCAUCCCACUCCUGAAAAAUGUGUAUUUUGUAAAGACUGAAUCUCUAUGAUAUACUCAUUAUGACUGUGCUUAAAGGGACACUAUAGUCACCAGAACAACUACAGCUUAUUGUAUUUGUUCUGGUGAGUAUAAUUAUUCCAUUCAGGUUUUUUGCAGUAUACACUGUUUUUUCAGAGAAAAUGCAGUGUUUGCAUUACAGUCUAGGGAUAACUCCACUGGUCACUUGACAGGUGAUUGCUAGAGGUGCUUCCUGUGGCAGUGCUGCAAACUGCCAUUCAGUGUCUCCACCCUCUGUAUGGAGACACUAAACUUUCCUCAUAGAGAUGCUGAUUGGCCAGGGCUGUGGUUGACUUGUGCUGGCUCUGCCCCUGAUCUGCCUCCUUGACAGUCUCAGCCAAUCAAAUGCUUUUCUAUGUGAAAGCAUUGUGAGUGUCUGAGAGAAUCACUUUUGAUGAUGUCAGCCAAGCAGACAGAUCGGGGGCAGAGCCAGCAGCAGUAGACUGGAACAAAAAUAAGAUUUAACUAUGUUUAGGGGGAGCUGGGGGACCAGUGGGGCUAGAUAGUGGUUUGAACACUAUAGGGUCAGGGAUACAUGUUUGUGUUCCUGACCCCAUAGUGUUCCUUUAAGUUUCACUGAAAUUACAACUCAAUACAGAGACAAAGUAUGGACUACUGUAUUUCUCCUCUGUCUGAUUUUUCUUGACACAAGGUGUUAAUCCCUGCAGCCAUCGUCAGUGAUGGCUGCAGGGAAUUGGCAUGCGCGUGGGUACUGCAGUGAUGCCAGCGCCGAGGAGGUUCAGGUAAUAUAACUCACCUUUACUUGCCCCCACCUGGUCCCCAGCAGCGAUGUCACUGUCGGCCGAGUUUGUGAAAUCAGCAAAGUCCCCAAACGGUGACAGUGCUGUUUAACUCGUCUUAUUACAAAUACUUGUCUGUUAGUCCACCCAUUCUACACCUAUUGGUGCUUUAUAAAUAAUAAUAAAAAUAAUUUGUGAUUGGCUAAGAUUCUGUAUGUAAGUGCCCAUGGGUGCCUUGUGUUGCUCGCAUUGAUGAUGGAGUUUAUUAAUGAUACUAACAUUUGAACCCUCUCUGUAGGUAUGUCAAAAGCUGUGAUUGUGGCGAUGAUUCCCUUGGUCAUAGGGUUUAGUUUCGUCUCAAUUUAUCUCAUGAUUUUUUGCUCCUGCUCAAACAUUACGGAGAACAGAUUCUGUAAGUCAACCAGUUUUUCAUGACUUUUGAAUAGAACCAUAAAAACAGUGUCAUUUCUGAUAUAUUUAUACAUUUCUAAUCUUUUUAAAUAUUGUGCAUCCUCAGUUCUUCAUGUUCUAGAACUAUCACCUCAUGUUCUGAAUAUCUACAUGUUCUUUGCAUCGAUCUUUGUAAUAACCUACAUCGCCAUCGAUAUACGUAAGUACGGUCCAGUUAAUAAGUUAUAUAUUUUUCUAAAAGUCCUGAUCAAUUAAUUGUGUAAAACUGAAAUAUAAUGUAGAAGAUAAUUUUUAUAGAUUUGGCAGCAGAUAUCUUCAAUUUCCAAUCAUUAGUAAUGUUAACAAAGAGACAAAAUUAAAAAAUGAUUUGGAGGUUGAGAAAUCUAAUGCCUUGUUUCAACUGAGCGGAACGGUUCGGGUCGGUUCGGUACGGUACGCUGUUUUGAGUGUUUCCAUUAUGAAAGUGGCUCAUACAACUGAACCGCACCGCACCAUUCUUGGCCCCCCUUCAGAUGAAGGUCCAUAGGAAAUGGUAAGGUAUGGUUAGGGCGGAGCUACUAGCGUCACACUAUACAAUCCAUUGAUUGGCGGAUAGGAAAACGUCAAUGCUCACAACAAAUGACAUGCUAGGCAUUUGGUCUACAGCCUGCAUGGCCCAUGGCGGUCCUACUUGCAGUGGAAACUCUCACCUGAAUAGGCUGGACCAUUCUAACCCUUCCAAACUGUACCGAACCGUUCCGCCCAGUGGAAACAAGGCAUAACAUUUUUAUGGAUAGGGAAGCAAUUAAACAGACAUGUCUACCACAAAAUGUUUACACAUUUUAGCUUCCGUAGCCUUUGUAAGAUGUAAUCCUGGGACAGGUGAUUGUCUGUAGAUUAGUUGGACAUGUGACCCCUUAACUCACUCUAGCUCACUAUUUAGUAAAUAGGAUUCUUGGCUAUGACAUGAAAAGAUACACAAAAUCAGUGAUGUUAAUUUGGUUAGGUAACCUGUAAUCACAUUUAUUCUGGUGUUAUUUUUUACAGGGCAAGACUGUGAAGAUGUAAACAGGAAUGUCCUUGUUUUUUUGUCAAUACCCUGUGCGAUUAUUUUUGUCCUUUUUGUUUUUUUCUUCAGCUGUAAGUAGGUGAAAUGUUUUCCUGUUUAACUCAAGACAUACAAAACACACAAACAUUGAUCUGAAAAAGAUCCACGUGCUCUACAAUAUACUUAUGUUGGGGUGUAAAACACAUACUGUUUUGCUGAACUGCUCUAUGUAUGCAGAUUGUGUGGUCUUUUUUUUUAAUUUUGAAAAAUGUGGAGAUUUCAAUAGAAAUUUUCAUUUUAUGAAUUAAACUUGUUACACCCUCCUGGCUGUCAAUCAGACAACCGGUCCUGUUACUUCCUGGUUGUUUAGCUCAAUGGAGCUCAAGAGGCAGGAUUUACCCAGAACACCUGCCUUGCAAAGACUUCCCAUUGAGCUGCAUUGGGAAGUCUGUGAAUGGACAGUUACAGAAAGACUUGGCUGGAUUAGAAGGAGAGGGCUUGCAAAGGGUGCAAACAAGAUCAGCAGCUUUUGUAAGCCGUUUUUAGAUAUAACCCCAAUAAUAAAAAAAAUAAUUAAAUACAUAAUAAAUUUGGGCAGCUACAUACCAGCAAGCGACUUG
Molecule: long non-coding RNA, 4906 nt
Filed under: Pelobates cultripes (western spadefoot toad)
Lineage: Eukaryota; Metazoa; Chordata; Amphibia; Anura; Pelobatidae
Source: RNAcentral